UGGGGAAUAUUGGACAAUGGGCGCAAGCCUGAUCCAGCAAUGCCGCGUGAGUGAUGAAGGCCUUAGGGUUGUAAAGCUCUUUUCGCACGCGACGAUGAUGACGGUAGCGUGAGAAGAAGCCCCGGCUAACUUCGUGCCAGCAGCCGCGGUAAUACGAAGGGGGCUAGCGGUUGUUCGGAAUUACUGGGCGUAAGGGCGCGUAGGCGGCCUGUUUAGUCAGAGUGAAAGCCCGGCUCACCUGGGAAUAGCUUUUGAUACUGGCAGGCUUGAGUUCCGGAGAGGAUGGUGGAAUUCCCAGUGUAGAGGUGAAAUUCGUAGAUAUUGGGAAGAACACCGGUGGCGAAGGCGGCCAUCUGGACGGACACUGACGCUGAGGCGCGAAGCGUGGGGAGCAACAGGAUUAGAUACCCUGGAUA
This 416-nucleotide ribosomal RNA is filed under the name uncultured bacterium. RNAcentral describes it as "partial 16S ribosomal RNA". It matches the Rfam family "Bacterial small subunit ribosomal RNA", at positions 355 to 792 of the family's 1533-position model. The record is from RNAcentral.